This 486-nucleotide ribosomal RNA is filed under the name uncultured bacterium. Its description in RNAcentral is "bacterial SSU rRNA". It matches the Rfam family "Bacterial small subunit ribosomal RNA", at positions 28 to 507 of the family's 1533-position model. The record is from RNAcentral.
GAUGAACGCUAGCUACAGGCUUAACACAUGCAAGUCGAGGGGCAGCACAGUGUAGCAAUACACGGGUGGCGACCGGCGCACGGGUGCGUAACGCGUAUCCAACCUUCCCGUUACUCUUGGAUAGCCCUCCGAAAGGGAGAUUAAUACAAGAUGGUAUUCAAAUUCCGCAUGUUAUUUGAAUUAAAGAUUUAUCGGUAACGGAUGGGGAUGCGUGACAUUAGAUAGUAGGCGGGGUAACGGCCCACCUAGUCUACGAUGUCUAGGGGUUCUGAGAGGAAGGUCCCCCACACUGGAACUGAGACACGGUCCAGACUCCUACGGGAGGCAGCAGUGAGGAAUAUUGGUCAAUGGUCGGAAGACUGAACCAGCCAAGUAGCGUGAAGGAUGAAGGUUCUAUGGAUUGUAAACUUCUUUUAUACGGGAAUAAAACACCUUACGUGUAGGGUCUUGUAUGUACCGUAUGAAUAAGCAUCGGCUAACUCCGUG